UGAAGUGGUUGAUACUUUCUGAUUCCGGUUCUGAAGGCUGGGGGUUCGAGUCCCUUCGGGCGUACCA
RNAcentral lists this transfer RNA (67 nucleotides) under Caudoviricetes sp. RNAcentral's name for it is "tRNA-Arg". The record is from RNAcentral. Lineage: Duplodnaviria; Heunggongvirae; Uroviricota; Caudoviricetes.